This 253-nucleotide ribosomal RNA is filed under the name uncultured bacterium. RNAcentral's name for it is "partial 16S ribosomal RNA". It matches the Rfam family "Bacterial small subunit ribosomal RNA", at positions 524 to 776 of the family's 1533-position model. The record is from RNAcentral.
UACGGAGGAUCCAAGCGUUAUCCGGAUUUAUUGGGUUUAAAGGGUGCGUAGGCGGCCUGUUAAGUCAGUGGUGAAAUCCAACAGCUCAACUGUUGAUGUGCCAAUGAUACUGACAGGCUUGAGUACAGACGAGGUAGGCGGAAUUGACAGUGUAGCGGUGAAAUGCGUAGAUAUUGUGAGGAAGACCGAUAGCGAAGGCAGCUUGCUAGCCUGUAACUGACGCUGAGGCACGAAAGUGUGGGGAGCAAACAGG